RNAcentral lists this ribosomal RNA (301 nucleotides) under uncultured bacterium. RNAcentral describes it as "partial 16S ribosomal RNA". It matches the Rfam family "Bacterial small subunit ribosomal RNA", at positions 509 to 810 of the family's 1533-position model. The record is from RNAcentral.
CAGCCGCCGCGGUAAUACAGAGGAUGCAAGUGUUAUCCGGAAUGAUUGGGCGUAAAGGAGCGCAGGCGGACAUAUAAGUCCAUCUUAAAAGUGCGGGGCUCAACCCCGUGAGGGGAUGGAAACUGUAUGCCUUGAGUACAGGAGAGGAAAGCGGAAUUCCCAGUGUAGCGGUGAAAUGCGUAGAUAUUGGGAGGAACACCAGUGGCGAAGGCGGCUUUCUGGACUGCAACUGACGCUGAGGCUCGAAAGCCAGGGGAGCGAACGGGAUUAGAUACCCCAGUAGUCCCUGUCUCUUAUACAC